GAGCGAACGCUGGCGGCAGGCCUAACACAUGCAAGUCGAACGGACUCUUCGGAGUUAGUGGCGGACGGGUGAGUAACACGUGGGAACGUGCCUUUAGGUUCGGAAUAGCUCCUGGAAACGGGUGGUAAUACCGAAUGUGCCCUUCGGGGGAAAGAUUUAUCGCCUUUAGAGCGGCCCGCGUCUGAUUAGCUUGUU
This 195-nucleotide ribosomal RNA is filed under the name uncultured soil bacterium. Its description in RNAcentral is "partial 16S ribosomal RNA". It matches the Rfam family "Bacterial small subunit ribosomal RNA", at positions 27 to 250 of the family's 1533-position model. The record is from RNAcentral.